Talpa occidentalis (Iberian mole) is the source of this 162-nucleotide small nuclear RNA. RefSeq annotates it as U1 spliceosomal RNA. The transcript has a single exon. The record is from RefSeq and is a predicted model, not a curated record. Lineage: Eukaryota; Metazoa; Chordata; Mammalia; Eulipotyphla; Talpidae.
AUACUUACCUGUCAGGGGAGAUAAAAUGAUCACCAAGGUGGUUUUCCUAGGGGGAGGCUUCCUCAUUGUGCUCUGGAUGUGUUGAUUCCUCCAAUAUCCCUAAAUAAGGGAAACUCAACUGUAUAAGUUGUGAUAAUAGGGGACUGCAAUUGCACUUUCCAA